GAAAUGCGAUACGUGAUGUGAAUUGCAUACUCGUGAAUCAUCGAAUCUUUGAACGCAAAUGGCGCUCGGCCGCUUCGGUGUGCCGAGCAUGUCUGUUUGAGGGUCAGUUUAAUCUGCUUUGUGUCUUUCGUAAAGUUCAACUGUAAUUUUAUGGAACCCCCACAAGACGAUGCGUGUUCACUUUUCCUGGCACUAGUGAUCAUGUGAAACGGAUAUUAAGACGAAAAGCUCGGGCGAACGUUCCGGGGUCCCGACCCAAUUAUAUUUUUUAUAUAUAAUUGCCCAACGGGACCAAACGGAAGCAUCACCGGGUUUUUUUUAAUAUUUCAGUAUAUUUUGACAAAAUGACCUCAAAUCAGGCAAGAGCACCCGCUGAACUUAA
Molecule: unclassified non-coding RNA, 382 nt
Filed under: uncultured fungus
Lineage: Eukaryota; Fungi
Also listed under: 1 other name
Description: sequence contains ITS1
Rfam family: 5.8S ribosomal RNA (bases 1-106)
Source: RNAcentral